This 404-nucleotide ribosomal RNA is filed under the name uncultured bacterium. Its description in RNAcentral is "partial 16S ribosomal RNA". It matches the Rfam family "Bacterial small subunit ribosomal RNA", at positions 29 to 526 of the family's 1533-position model. The record is from RNAcentral.
AUUGAACGCUGGCGGCAGGCCUAACACAUGCAAGUCGAGCGAGCGGCGGACGGGUGAGUAAUGGCGGGGAGUCGCCAAGUCGAGGGGGAUAACAGUUGGGAACGCUUGAUAAUACCGAAUACGGAUGGAUUGCCCAGGAUGGACUAGCUAGUUGGGGAGGGAAUGGCUCACCAAGGCGACGAUCCCUGGCUGGUCUGAGAGGAUGCUCAGCCACACUGGAACUGAGACACGGCCCAGACUCCUACGGGAGGCAGCAGUGGGGAAUAUUGCACAAUGGGCGAAACCCUGAUGCAGCCAUGCCGCGUGUAUGAAGAAGGCCUUCGGGUUGUAAAGCACUUUCAGCGAGGAGGCGUUACUCGCAGAAGAAGCACCGGCUAACUCCGUGCCAGCAGCCGCGGUAAUAC